Molecule: ribosomal RNA, 278 nt
Filed under: uncultured prokaryote
Description: partial 16S ribosomal RNA
Rfam family: Bacterial small subunit ribosomal RNA
Source: RNAcentral
UACGGAGGAUCCGAGCGUUAUCCGGAUUUAUUGGGUUUAAAGGGUGCGCAGGCGGGGGAUUAAGUCGGCGGUGAAAUUUUGCAGCUCAACUGUAAAAGUGCCUUCGAAACUGGUUUCCUUGAGUGUAGAUGAAGUAGGCGGAAUUUGUGGUGUAGCGGUGAAAUGCUUAGAUAUCACGAGGAACUCCGAUUGCGCAGGCAGCUUACUAAACUACUACUGACGCUCAGGCACGAAGGCGUGGGGAUCAAACAGGAUUAGAUACCCCCGUAGUCCCUGAG